Small nucleolar RNA from Macadamia integrifolia, 127 nucleotides. RefSeq annotates it as small nucleolar RNA snoR74. The transcript has a single exon. The record is from RefSeq and is a predicted model, not a curated record. NCBI's taxonomy places the organism in Eukaryota, Viridiplantae, Streptophyta, Magnoliopsida, Proteales, Proteaceae.
GAAAAAGCAGGGGCUCGUUACCUUUGUGAGCGUGCCUCUCGUAAACUUCAGGGAAAUCAUAUACAUCUUUAUUGGGUGAACCUCUGUUGUUUUGGUAGCAGAAGGUUCAGUAAAUGAUGGUACAUAA